AGUGAACGCUGGCGGUAGGCCUAACACAUGCAAGUCGAACGGCCACACAGUAAGAGCUUGCUCUUACGGGUGGCGAGUGGCGGACGGGUGAGAAAUACAUCAGAAUCUACUUUUUCGUGGGGGAUAACGUAGGGAAACUUACGCUAAUACCGCAUAUGACCUACGGGUGAAAGCAGUAGAUCUUCGCACCUUUCGCGAUUGAUUGAGACGGUGUCGGAUUAGCUAGUUGGUGAGGUAACGGCUCACCAAGGCAACGAUGCGUAGCCGACCUGAGAGGAUGAUCGGCCACACUGGAACUGAGACACGGUCCAGACUCCUACGGGAGGCAGCAGUAGGGAAUCUUCCGCAAUGGGCGAAAGCCUGACGGAGCAACGCCGCGUGAGUGAUGAAGGUCUUCGGAUCGUAAAACUCUGUUAUUAGGGAAGAACAAAUGUGUAAGUAACUAUGCACGUCUUGACGGUACCUAAUCAGAAAGCCACGGCUAACUACGUG
Molecule: ribosomal RNA, 492 nt
Filed under: uncultured bacterium
Lineage: Bacteria
Description: partial 16S ribosomal RNA
Rfam family: Bacterial small subunit ribosomal RNA
Source: RNAcentral